GUGGGGAAUAUUGGACAAUGGGCGAAAGCCUGAUCCAGCCAUGCCGCGUGUGUGAAGAAGGUCUUCGGAUUGUAAAGCACUUUAAGUUGGGAGGAAGGGCAGUAAGUUAAUACCUUGCUGUUUUGACGUUGCCGACAGAAUAAGCACCGGCUAACUUCGUGCCAGCAGCCGCGGUAAUACGAAGGGUGCAAGCGUUAAUCGGAAUUACUGGGCGUAAAGCGCGCGUAGGUGGUUUUGUAAGUUGGAGGUGAAAUCCCCGGGCUCAACCUGGGAACUGCCUCCAAAACUGCAUGACUAGAGUACGGUAGAGGGUAGUGGAAUUUCCUGUGUAGCGGUGAAAUGCGUAGAUAUAGGAAGGAACACCAGUGGCGAAGGCGACUACCUGGACUGAUACUGACACUGAGGUGCGAAAGCGUGGGGAGCAAACAGGAUUAGAAACCCGAGUAGUCC
This 450-nucleotide ribosomal RNA is filed under the name uncultured bacterium. RNAcentral's name for it is "bacterial SSU rRNA". It matches the Rfam family "Bacterial small subunit ribosomal RNA", at positions 354 to 796 of the family's 1533-position model. The record is from RNAcentral.